GGGCCAAGUGCUGUCAAACUGCAUUGAUUCCAGAGUGUGGCUGCGUGCUCCCACGUCUCCUGAUCUGAAGCGGGCUUCGUGGCUCUUUCUUUCCUCACUGCUUCCACGAUGGCCUCGCUCUUCUGGAGGGAAGCGGAGAAGAGAGAGAGAGAGAGAGAGAAACCACACGCACACCCCACCCAGCCCGGGCGGGAAAGAGAACGCCCGAGAGCGGAACUCUCCCCUUCCGAGGCCUCUUUCCCGCUCCACUCUUCCGCCCUGACGGGGCCCGGAGACAAAUUGGCAUGUCAGAGGCAGCUGGAGCGGGUUUGCGGGGAGAAUUGUGCAAAUGAAUACAGAUGGGCUCCGGGCGGCCUCGUUUAAUCCAGGGCAUGUUUGCAAUAAAGCCGGCGCUUCCACGGCAGGCCUCAAAUUGGAUGAAAAUUGUCCUUGAGCGGCGGUAGAGAAAGCAAGGCAGGCAGGGGUGCUGUUUAAACUGGUUUGGUUUUGUCUUUUUUCCCCCUCCAUGGUGGAGGGGGAGGGUGUUGAGAAGAAGGGCCCAGCCGCUCUCUGGGGGCCGUAAUGCUCGGAAACCCAUCUGUCUCCCCGCGGCGAAUGUAAGCAAAGGAAGGGAGAAGCCCCGGCCGGGCUUUAUUGAAAUGAGAAUUGACUUGAUUGUUGGGGAUUACGGAGCGUGGCACGGAACGGCGCGGCGGAUAAUAGAUUUGUUAGCAUAAUAGAGCCCCUCGCCAGGAGCUGUUAGCGUCACGCCUGGGUGGAGGCCGCGAAGCGCCGACAGCUCGUACAUCACACCAUUGAGGCUCCGGGAGGGAGCCGUAGCCGCCAGAAAGACAAACAGCGCUCGGCUCAGCUGCCUUGAGGAGCGCGCGGAGGGAAGGGGAAGCGGGAAGACCGCGCCAGGAGGGCGUGGCCGAAGCGGGAGAGGGGGCGCGUGCGUCAAUCUCGAGCUUUGAUUGGCUGAGGCGCGGCAAAGUUUGAGCGGGAUCGCUAAAGGCAAGGAAGUGGCGCUCCUGGGGAACACCUCGCGCGGGUAGGCCUCAUCCCAGGAUUGUACUAAAAGCCCUCUCGAAGCUCUAAGCCAGACUGCUUUUAAAUAUACGUAAGGAAGAGGGGCCGAUCAAGGCCAAGAUGGAUGGAUGGUAUCCUUGAAGUGACUGGCUUGACCUUGAAGGAGCUGGAGUGUCAGUGGCAAACAGGGAGCUCUGGCAUGGGCUGGUCCAUGAGGUCACAAAGAGUCCAAAGUGACUGAACGAAUAAACAACAGGGACAGCUUAGACAAAUGACAAGGAGGAAGGCGCAGGGUGGCGUAAAAAACCUUCAGAAAAAGGAGCUACACUAUUGGAGUCUUUGUUCAUUAAGUUAUGAAUGUUUAUAUUACGAUGAUGGUAAUGACAGUAUGAAUAAAGCUGUAUUUGUAAAUGCCCCAUGUUGCAGACAAGGAAAGUAGACUCAAAGUCUGCAGCUUCCUUGUGGAGACUUGACUCUUUUGUUAAUCUUGACAAGAAUAAAUUUGUUGAAUCAAUGGGAUUCGUCUGUCUUGACUCAGCAUUCACUUAUUACUUGAAUGGGUCUACUUUAAAUGGGACUAACCAACAGGAUUCCAGUUGUAUGUUAAUAGUUGCAACAAGAACUAAAUGCAAUCACUUUGAGGUUAACUAUAUAAAAUGUGUGAAGUUAAAAUGAAACAUCAUAUUUCACAAUUUACAUGGGCCUGGGGCAGAAGUUUUUUCCUGGUCAACUCAACUGACUGUUGAUUUUAUUCUCACUGUCAUAUUAUUACAAGUUUGCACUCCUGCCACUCUUGCUUGUUGAACUGAGACCAGCAGCUGCCUUUGCCACUUUAGUAUUCUGAAUUGUGAGCAAAUGGAGGAAAAUGCAGCACAUAGGGAGAAUGUGUGGCCCUCCAGAUGUGUUGGUCUGCAACUCCCAGCAGUCCUAGCCAUUGUAGCUAAUGAUAUGGGGGUCAUGAGAACGACACUCUUGCAAUGUUUGAACAUUCCUCACCCUGAAUGACUCUCCCAUGUUUCCAAUACACUUCUACUGAUUUUUGGGGCAACAGUAUUAAGCAGCCAUUUUUCACCCUGAAGGCACCAGAUCCAUUUGAUCUUGGAAGCUAAGCAAAGUCAUGUUUGGUUAGUACUUGGAUGGGAGACUACCAAGGAAUAUCAGACAUUACAGGCUAUACUUAAGAGGAAGGACCUAGCAAACCUUCCUCUGGUUAGAAAACCCUAUGAAAUUCUUGGUGUUGCCAAAAGUCAACAGGUGACCUGAAGGCAUACACAGAAAGACACAGACAUAUAUGUUGAUGUAACUUUUUUUAUUUGGAAAGGAAGGAUCCAGGCUGACUGCAGAGGCCAACUUCCCAAUAGCUGCAGACCAGAGAGGCUCCCUAAAGGAACCUGGGAUCUCAAGGGAGCAGCUGUUUGAGAAAUGUCACAGGUUGACCUCCUGUUUCCUUGACAAGAGUGCUGGCGGCUGAGGUGAAGAAGUUGGUAAUUUCUCCUGUCACUCAGGCAGGGGAUGCGUUAUUAAGCUGUGGCAGGUGAAGGUGUAGCUGGUUUCCCCAGGGGAGGCUUAGGGAAAGCAUGUUUGUCUCUCUCCACAGUGCACUUCAAAGCUGUGACGGUGCUGGUUCUGCUGUGGUCUUUUAGGGUGGUAAAAACCUUGGACCCAAAGUGCAGCUGCAAUGUUGAAUCCAGAAACCUUGGACAGUGGCACAAGAACAAGAGGGAUCCUUUAUAGAGGAAGUCAGUGAAGCUGGCCUUUUAUAACUUUGUGUUUUUUUGAGAGUCUGCAAUGUUUUUGGAUCAGUUAGGAUUGGAGCCCAAUUCUUCAGAAUGGAGCUUUGAAUGCAUGCCUCGCACACUCUGCAAACAUCUCCUUUUUGCACCUUCCAGCCUGCCUACUUACCUGCCCAUGCUCUGGCGGCAAGGCUCAGCUGGGCUUCUGGAGCUCCACAGGACGGCUCCCUUCUUGAUGGCACAUGUCAGCCAGGAGGCGGCCUGUCAAGAGGAGCCUUUUCCCUGGGCAGUCACGCCUGUUGCCUUGAUGGGCUGGCUGGCAGCAACACAGAGCUGGACACCUGCCGGCUUUUGAGCACAAACAAGGAGGGAGGGGGAAAAUCUCCCUCCUCGCCCUCCCCCAGAGUCACCUCUUGCCCAGGCUUAAUGAAAUAUUGAAGCCGGUUGCUGGUGACAGACAGCUGCCGGCUGCAGGCUGCGCCAGAGCGAGGAGUGGAGGAGCGUGGAUAUGAGAUCUGAAGACUGGCAGCAGAGAGUAAUGGAUGGGUGCAAUUAAGCAGUCCCCCCUCCCCUGGAGAGGAGAGUAGCAAAAUCCCAGUGCUGCAAAAGGGACAGGUGGGUGGAGGAUCCCUGAGGACUACAAUACUUCAGAGGGAAUGCCACUGUCACGGUUUACAUGAGGGAAAGUCCUGGUUUACCCCCAUCCCUGCCAUGGAGAGGAUGCUCAGUUCUAGUACAGUAUGUCUCUAUCUGAUGUCCCCCUUGGCUACAUUUUUUCUCUUUUUUGGAAAUUCACCGGGGACCAGUAGCCAAUGACUCAGGGAUUGGCAUUGGUCCAGAGACCACUACAUUAAGCAGCACUUGUCUAUUACAUACAAGUGUAAUGAUAGCAAAGUUUGGCUCUCUGGAUAUUGUGGAACUGUAACUCCAAGCAGUUCUAUCUAGUAUAGUUUAUGGUGAGGAAUAUGGGAAGUUGCCAUUCAGCAACAGAUUGAGGGAUGCAUGAUUGUGUGUGUAUGUGUGUUUGUGUGCCUUAAAAUUGUAUAUUUAUAAUGGCCCCUUAAAUUCUUAUAGGGAUUUCUUAGAAAAAAAUACUCAUAGGUGGCUUUGCCAGUUCAUUCUUGUGAUAUACAUUCUACAGCACCUGAUAUCUCCCAUCCAAAUACAAUCCAAGUCUGACCCCACUUAGCUUUCAAAACAAAACAGGAGCUGGUGACUUCAGGGUUGUGUGAUUAUCAGCCUUGCAUUAGUAGAUAGUGAAUUGGUGUCUGAGACCCCUACUACACUGUCAUAUAAUCCAGUUAUUCAAAUCUGAUAAUACACAUUACCUGCUUUGAACUGGAUUAUAUGAGUCUAUACUGCCAGAUAAUCCAGUUCAAAGCAGAUAAUCUGGAUUUUAUAUGGCAGUGUAGAAAGGGCCUGGGUGGCUAUGAGAAAGGCAGGGUAAAAGGUGUAUGGAAGGCAAAGCUGGGGGAAAACUAUUCAUUUGCUGCUCUUCCAUGAAAUUAAAAUUGGUGACCUGAGGCAGCCAUACCUUCCUCUGCAUCAUGGUACGAUCUGAUCUGCAAGGACUUCCUGUAGCAUUAGACAAUUGAUAUACAAGAUUUAUAGAGAUUAGUUUGAUCUUUCCUAUCAUUGUUAAUUGUUUGGUAUAAAAAUGUUUGGGCAAAUAUUAAUGUAAUAAAAUGCCCAUCCUAUUUCCAAGCAAAAUAUCUGUAUUUCGUCUAAGGGGAAGUAUGUAUAACAAUUCCAUAAAUAGCUACAGAUAUUACCAAAAUGUGAUUUUCAAGGAAAGAGCAAGGGUGAUUCUGAAUUUCAUAGAAGUAGCUGUGUUAGUCUCUUGCAGCAUAAGAAGGAGGCGGAGAAGAAAGAAAAGUAUCACCACUUUUAAAACUUACAGGUUUUAUUUUAGCAUAAGUUUUUGUGGCUACCCUAACAAUUAAAGUUGAAUAGGGGAAUAUGAAUGGUACAUAUACAGAUAAAUUUAUCAUUCAUAGAUUUAUAACAAUACUAUAUGUUGCAGAUUGUAGCUUUGGCACAGCUUCCUUUUGCUUAGCUGUUCACACAUUCCUGCUUCCACAAGCAUGGUAAAUUUCAGGUCAGAUGUUAUUUAAGGGGACGAAACGGUGUCAUCCUCCAUUUUUUUGUUGGACUGCAGUUUCCAAGACUCCUCACUAUUAGCUUUGCUGGCUUAGGCAGAUGGGUGUAAUAGUCCAACAAAAUUUGGAGGGUUGUGCUUUCUUCCAUGUCUGCUUUAUAGCCCUUUCACUGGAGUGCAAUGUUUGCUAAUGAAGCCAAGGAUUUAAAGGACCCAGGUUAUGGUUCUAAGAAAAACUUAAUUUUCUUACCUCCCGCUCCUCCUACCCUCCUCUGCCAUUCCAGCCAUUUUGCUGUAUUCUGAAGAGUCUAAUAUUGGCUUGUCAAUGGAUAAAAGGGCAAAAAAGGGAAUAGCAAAUGAUCAGGAAGCAGUUGGAGUACCCUUCCUUGCCAGGAAAUGCAAAAACCUGUGGAGCUAUUUCACUUACAAUAAAGAUGACCAAAGGAGGACAUGGUGAGAGUUUUAUAAAAUUUUGCCUUGUAUGGAAAAAACAAACAGAGGUUCCUCCCUCCCAUUUUCAUAAUGGCAAAGAACAGGUUCACCCAAUGAAACUGAUUGACAGUAGAUUCAGGACAGGAAGAGCAAAGAACUUUUCUGCAGAAUGCACUAUUAACUCAAUGUGCUUGACCACCAGGAAAAAAUGUAGUGAAGGACAUUAAUUUAAAAAAGAGAAUGACACAAAUCCCUGGAGGCUACAUAUACCAGGAGACACCGAAAAUAAUCAGGAAUGUGUGAUGUAAAGAAGGGCUGUGCUCUUGACAAAACUACAAGUGUGUGAUUUAAAUGUACACAACUACAACAAAUUCACAGGAACUUUGGAAGCAGGAUGCUGGACUAGAUGGAUAGAUAAUCUGGUCUAGAAUGGCUCCUGUGUUCCCACUUGUUAGGUUUUCUCAUGACACUCAUUUUCUCACAUCCAGUGGGUAGAAAUUGUUAGAACACUGGCUUUGCUAGGCUACUUUUUAAAAAUUUGAAAUUAAAAUUUCAUUAGCCAGGUGAGAUAUGUAUUUUCCUCCAACCCAUGCAGACAGUUCCCUUAUGGCAAGGGAUUUACAAUUCCCUUCAGAUGUUAUUGAGCUGCAACUCCUAUCAGUCCUAGCUAGAAAAGCUAAUAAAGAAAGAUCAUGGGAAUUGCCACCUAGCAACAUCUAGAAAAGCACAGUCUUCACCCUUGCUUUCGAGUCAGGGUGGACACUUUCUGUGUUCUUGGGGGCUUCAUGGUUUUACAUAAAACCAUGUGAGGAGGUGGUACUGAUUGGUCAUAUGUUUUGGCUCACAACCUGAUCACCUAGCAAGUGGCAGAGCUUUCUAUUAGGCUAGAACCUUAUAACAUGAUCUUGAUCAUCUAUGAUUGAAAGUAUUUCCUACCAGAAAUGUCUCUUCUGUAUAUUUUCUCCUACUGUUCUGAUUCACUAAACCUUGCGGCUCUUCCUUUUUCCAGAGCUGAGAGAAGAAUGAUGCUUUGUGUUGAGGGAGGGUAAUGCAUAGAAAAAUACAGCUUUUGUCCCUUCCCCUUCCUUACAGCUCCUCAGUUGGGAUUUACUGUCUGAAGAGAUGCACUGCAUUCCUGACCAUAUAAAAUUAGUCAUUUCCUAAAUCCACCGGCCAUGUGCUAAUAAAUGGCAGCCGGGCUGUAUAUCACCUGCAUGCCAGUACACGCCAAGAUUGAUAUCUGCAGGGCGGCCAGAAUUAAUUCCUUGGACAAGCGGCAUUUAUUAAGCAUUCUGAGGAUGUCAGAUGAAGAAAUCCAUCCUGCCCUCGCUGGCAAUUAGGCGGGCAGCAAAACAUCAGGGUGAAUAGAUGGGACUCCCAGUGGGGCAUGGAUGCCAUGGGUCAUAGCCUGUCCUAGCUUCAGUGAGCUCUCAGUCACAGGACACAGGAUUUAUUUGCAUUCAUUUUCGCCAUGCCACCCCACACAGGGUCUGUUAUUAGGAAUACCAUAUAGCAUAGGAAGAGUAGAAGGAUCCAGUGAGGGGACAGAGUAUCAAAAUCCAGGUUGAAGGUCCUUGCCAUUUACAAAGUCACGAUCCCAUCACUGGGAAAAAGAGUCAAGUCAGUAUAUUUCUGAGCAUAUGUAGAAUGUCUUUCCCUAACCAUAUUACCAAAAGGUGUUUGCUUGAAGUUGAUGAUUAUAAAAUGAAUGCUUAGGAUUAGCUAAAGCAUUAUGAUUCUCUGGCUAUUGAACAAUAGGUGGUGAAUAUUUAUCUUUCCAACAAGUCUUUUAACAACAGUAAAAGCAUGCAGAACCCAGCCACUUUGACCAUCAGUUACUUUCCAGUUUUACAGGGAUAUCCCUAUAUGAGCUUGCCUGAACUCUACGAUUAUUGCGUGAGAGCUUUUUCAUCCAUAGUUAAUGGGGCCUUAAUGGUGAUUGCUCCCACACUGUGGAUCUUCAUCCCAUGAAAGACCGGGUUGGCUCUUUCCCCCAGCAGGCAAAGACUUCUUUUUAUUUUCACAGGACUUUGGUCUUUCACAUGAUGUGGCUGAUGGGUAUCUUAAUAGGGUGAGUUUUAUCUAUUUUACACUUACUAUGUAUUUUAAAAAUUUAAAAAUAUUUUAAUAUUACUAUCUAGUUAAUGUUGUUUAAUGUUUAUACCAUAUUUUUGUUUUGAACUUUUAUUAUCAGCCACCCUGGGUCCUAUAUCUGGAGAAAGAAAGGAUAUAAACAGAAUAAAAAAAUAAUUCGAAAGGACAUGUGCUUCUUCAUUUUUUUCUUAAUUGUCAUCUGCUUCCAUAAUACUGUCAUUGUGUAGGCGAUCAGAUUUGGUAUAUGAAGCCACCAAAAGCAAAUGAAACAAGUUCACCACCCUGCCCCUCCCCCCAUAUGAGUGAAAAUGCUGUCAUUUCUAUGGUGCUGUGGAUGGGAUCGUGGCCCAAACAAAGCUUAGCUAUAGGGAAAUCUGCAUACCCACUAGGAUGCCUUGAUACCCUGUUGUGUCUCCCUGAAAAAUCAGCUAAAUUAGCUGUACUUUUUUGCAGAACAGAAAUGUUCAUAAAACAUACUCCCCUCUUUUAGCUAAGAUCCAAUUUUUCAGAGAGUAUAAUUAGCCAUCUCCAAGAUAGAGAUUUUGUCAAGCUCACCUAGGACCUGAUCAUGUAGUCAUAUAUCCUAUUUCUGAUGCCCUUUGUAUAGGUUCUUUCACAUGACGCAUGGUCCAUUUCGUAGGUAACCUGUCAUCAGCCGUAGACAAAGGAUCUGCCAACAGUACCUUUUCUAAAAUGCGGAAACAAUAGACUUCACUUGUUUUUUAUUUGACCAUGUGGGUCAGAGGCAAGGUUUUUGCUGUGUGAUUGUACACCCAUCUGCAGGUCGUCGGCAGCUCAUCCCUGUUAACAGAUCAUGGGGUUUGCAUGACCAGAAGUGGUUUAACAGAUUGUGCUUUUGAAAGAAGUGGUUUAAAGACCAUACGUGUUCCAUUUCUCUACUUUUAUUGUGUUUCCUUUUUGUUGUUGUUACAGUAUUGAUUUCUUUAAAGUACUGUAACAUCAUUUUUUUUAAAAAAAAUCCACUUACCCGUGAUUGUUUACUUUUCCUUUUUAACUUUUUUAAAUUUUGAAACUGCAUUUCUCAAUUAGGACGGAGGUCAUGAAUUACGUGAUUGCACAAGAUUUGCCAGAGGGAGGACAGUGAUGUGGGGAAAACUGGGAGGAGUCGCCCAAUUACCAUGUCAUAAGUCAAAGUCUGGCGCUCUACAAAAGUUUGGAACUCCAGCCCCUAUCAUCCUUGACUAUUCUCCACUCUGGCUGUGACUGAUGGAUAUUCUGUUCCUCAUUUCUAGCAGCUCAUCAUAUGAAAAGGCAAGCUUCAAUCUGUUGUACAGUGUUCCCUCACUACUUUGCGGUUCACUUUUUGCGGAUUUGCGGAUUUGCUGUUUUGGGGUUUUUCAAUAAACUCUAAAAGAAUAUUAUAAAUCAUAAAAAUUACAAUUUACAGCCUAAGGAAGGGAGGAGGGAGAAGUCAAAGGGAGAGAAAAGGAGACCAAGCGGCAACAGGAGGAGAAGGAGAAGAUUUAUCAACACACAAUUGGCUGAUAAAGACUUAAAAUAGUGUAUAACUACUAAAAUAAUGUAUUGAUAUUAAAAUAAAUAUAGCAUCUCUACUUCUCGGAUUUUCACUUAUUGCGGGUGGUCCUGGAACCUAACCCCAGCAAUAAGUGAGGGAACACUGUAUCACUGUUUUUUGCCAGGUUUUCUUCCAGCCAAUACUUAAAACAAGAGCUGAAAUUCAUCUGAAAAACAUGGUCUGAACCCUCAGGUCCUCAGAUAUGGAUCCCAAGGUUGAGCCAUGAUAGAUUUCUGUCUUCAAAUACAGGGCCAAGGGAUGCCUUUCCCUCCAGAGCCACACAGCCUGGCCAUCCUUUCAGUGUAGUGCCAUUGCUUGCCCAGGGGUUCUCCACCAUGAGGCCAUGUAUUGUUGCUAAGUGGCCUCAGGUCAUUUCCAACAUACGGCAACCAUAAAGUGACCCUGCUAUGGGGUAUUCUUGGCAAGAUUUGUUCAGAGAGGGCUUGCCCUUGUCUCCUUCUGAGGCUAAGAGGAUGUGACUUGCUCAGAAUUACUCAAUAGGUUUUCAUAAUGAGUGGAGGUCUGAACACUGAUCCCCAGAGUAAUAAUCCAACACUCAAAUGAGCAUACCACAUUGGUCAAGAGCACCUCCAUAAAUGAGGGGCCUUAACUGUGCUGAGGAAACCAUCAGGGCCAGAACUCAGAAAGCAGUAAGUCUUCUUUGCUUUCUUCUGUACUGUGAGCUCUUCAGCCCCCUGUCCACAGUGCCAUCUGGACAAUGCCUGGAAACUUGAACCAAAUACCAACAUCCUACCUGAAGCAGUUGGAAGACCUGGGAACUGAAGCAUCCCCUUUCCCACAUCCCUCUCCUUGAAAUCUCUCUUGUUUCAUUGUGGGCCUCCUCCUUCUUCCCCCACAACGUGCAGAGAGAUAGCCAAAAAGAAACACAAACAUUUUGGACCCUGCGUCUCUGCCAUCGAUCACUCCCCCCACACAUCUCCAGAGAGACCCUCUCCCCCUUCGAAGACAGGUUCCGUGCCUCAUUCCCGAUUCGGCUCAUGCCCACCUGAGCUGCGCACUGACAAAUAGACAUUUAAAUCAGACAAUUAGCUGGCCUCUACUACUGACAUUUUUAAUGUAUUAAUGUGCAUCAACAGCUAAUACAUAGAAAAUUCCCCUAAUAACAGUGCUUGGGCGAAAGGGGUUGCUUUGCUGUGCUGGAGUUGGCAGUGAUAUACGACUCCGGUGGGGCGCUGGACCUGCAGUUCGCAUUAAUUACCAGCCGACUGACAGGCCGACGUGACAGCGUGGAAUAGGCAGCGGCCCUGUUAUAAUAUCUUUAGCUUUUCUCUCGCUCUCUGUAAGUGAAAGGGAUUUAUAUCGUGCAUAAUAAAGACAAGCACACACGUGUCCAGCUGCAAGAGCCGUGACGGGAGAUGUGUGUGCCACAAAAAGCAUACAGUAUGUGCACACAUACAUAUCAGUGUAACAUGAGGAAAGGUGACUGCAUGGGCUGUGCACCUUUUAUAUAUUUUGGAGUUUUUAUGCAUUCCCCAUUUCUGUGUGUGGUUGUGAAGCUAGACAACAAAAAAAGCUGAUGGAAAGAAAAUCAACUCAUUUGAGAGAUGCUUCUGGAGAAGAUAUUGCAGAUACUGUGGCCUAUUAAAGGACAGAUAAAUGGGUCCUAGGGCAAACUCUCCCUAGAAGCCACGAUGACUAAACUCAGGCUGUUGUACUUUGGACAUAUCAUGAGAAAACAUGAUUCACUAGAAAAAACAAUGUUUGGAAAGGCAGUAGGAAAAGAGGAAGACAAUUAUAGGUGAAUCGUCAAGGAAGCCAUGACAGCUCCAAGUUUCCCAAGACCUGAGCAGGGCUGUUGCCAAUAGGGUGGACUUGGUGGUCUCUCAAUUAUGGGGGUCACCAUAUGUUGAAAUCAACUUGGUGGCCGCUGCCGCCGCCUCCUCCUCCUCUUCCCCCCCCCCCUUUCUGUGUUCCUUCUCCAAAGGGUUUUCAAGAUAAAAAGGGAUUGUUGGGAGCUGAAUCAACCCUGUGAGGUAGGCAAAGUUGAGAGGCAGUGUCUCCAAAGUUUACCUAGUGGAUUUCCGAUUAUUAUUGUUGUUUUUAUUAUUAUUUCAAAGACUGAAUGGGCAUUUGUUAGGGGUGGUUUGACUGUGCUUUUCCUGCCUGGCAGAAUAAAGGGGGUUGGACUUCCCCCGCCUUGCACAAUUACUUAACAAAAAGUAACAAAGAAUUCAUUCUAUCGUUAUAGUUACGAUACAGACCCCUAACAAUAUUUAAGAAACAUUUUAGAAACUAUUAUGUGCACCUGCCUAAUUUAGUAAUGAGUAUUGAAACAUUUUUAUUGCUUGCACAGGCCUAUUAAAUUAAAGAUUUUGGGGUCUCUCCCAACAAAGGAGAUCCGCGCUAGACCCGGCAAGGAGGGCUGCGCAACACCUGGCGAGCUCACGGGAAGCAAAUGAAAGUUUUCCCUAUUCCCAAUAAAGAAGUCUCACCCAGGUUGGAAGCAGAGGUCACCAAGUUUAUUCUGGUCCAGCUGGAGCAGUAUGAUGGCAGCAAUAAGAUGCAAGAAGAACCGGCAUACCAUUACACAGAAAAAAGCACUUUUAAUACUUUACAAUUUUGAAUUUUCCACCCCUGUCAGGAGGCAGGAGGGGUGAUCUGGGGGGUCUGCGCAUCUCCUCCAAUGGGAGCGCGAGCCCCACUUGUGACAUCACUCCCUCAGCAGCCAAUGAUGAGAUGGAGGCGCUGCAAUGGGAAAAACAAUGGUGAAACAUAUGUUGAUGAUGGGAUUAUGAGUGACUCUAUAGCGAGCCUUUGUCAAGCGAUCCGGUGAAAGCCUCUGGGCUCUCGAACCAGACCUAGUUAUAGAUCCAUUGAUUGAUUUUGCACGUUUAAUGGAGAGUCUGACACACGCUGAGCCAGCCUCAUUGUGAAGGAAGCAGUCAUGGCAAGAACCUUGAUGGGAUUAUGUAUGAUUCAACACUGGUGACUUCUUUCUCUCUGGCAGGAGAAUGAGUCUUUUAUGAUGAGUGAUUUUUGAAUGUCCAAGGGUCCCUUUCUCCCUAGAUGGCCUGGCAUCUGUGCCCUCUGAGAUCCAGGAGGAAGUCCAUUGUCUUCUUCUGCAGAUGAUAAUACAUGUCAAUAAUACAUAGCCUUAGGCAUCCUGGUGGUGCCUGGCUGGGUUGGUAUGCUGGCCAGAGUUCAUGUUAGGGUCACAAUGCCUCGUUCAUAAGGGGUAAGGCAUCAUAGGAAAUAAUAAAGACAAAUAAUAAUAAU
Long non-coding RNA from Anolis carolinensis (green anole), 12139 nucleotides. RefSeq lists it as uncharacterized. NCBI's taxonomy places the organism in Eukaryota, Metazoa, Chordata, Lepidosauria, Squamata, Anolidae. The transcript has 4 exons. The record is from RefSeq and is a predicted model, not a curated record.